CCUACGGGGGGCAGCAGUGGGGAAUAUUGGUCAAUGGGGGAAACCCUUAUGCAGCAACGCCGCGUGAGGGAUGAAGGUUUUCGGAUUGUAAACUCCUUUUAUUAGGGACGAUAAUGACGGUAUCUCCAGAAUAAGCCACGGCUAACUACGUGCCAGCAGCCGCGGUAAUACGGAGGUUGCAAGCGUUAUGCGGAAUUACUGGGUGUAAAGGGUGCGCAGGCGGGCUGGCAAGUCAGAAGUGAAAUUCUUGAGCUUAACUACAGAACUGCAUUUGAAACUAUUAGUCUUGAGUGUGGGAGAGGCAGGCGGAAUUCGUGGUGUAGCGGUGAAAUGCGUAGAUAUCAAGAGGAAUACUCAUUGCGAAGGCGGCUUGCUGGAACAUUACUGACGCUGAUGCACGAAAGCGUGGGGAGCAAACAGGAUUAGAUACCCUAGUAGUC
RNAcentral lists this ribosomal RNA (440 nucleotides) under uncultured bacterium. Its description in RNAcentral is "partial 16S ribosomal RNA". It matches the Rfam family "Bacterial small subunit ribosomal RNA", at positions 338 to 795 of the family's 1533-position model. The record is from RNAcentral.